CGUACUCCUUAACAGACUGUGGAGAGAGGUAGAAAAGCACUCUCUUACUCAACUUCCAAAACUAAUGAAGGAAAAUUCAGGCUAAAAAAAUUAAAAACACUUCAGUCAGUUUAUGGUUAUCAGUGUAUCACUUUUUCCCAGGUUACCCCGAAUCCUCUUUCUGGAGAUUGCUGUACAUGUUUUCUUGUUCUCUCUGAUCAUUGUUUGGAUAGAGAAGCUGAAGACUGAAGCAGAAAUUUCCAGUGCCUGGUGAUUUUCUUUUCACUGGAAGUGAAUGGCAACAGGUGGCCACAACUGCUCAUAACACAUUUCUGAAGAGUCCUAGUGUGAGGCUGCACAGAGAACCUUUCACACUCAUUUCACUUGGAGCAAUCCCAUUACAGUAUCUGGCCCCCUUUCUGGAUGUGGCUCUGAAUGACUUACUUUGAGCCAUUCAAAACAUUUGUGGUAGACCUAGGUGUUGAAAGUAGCUCUCACAAGGGCUGAUCCAGAGCUUAUUUAAGUCAACAAAAGUCUUUCCAAUUGAUUUCAAUUAAUUUCUGAACAGGUUCUGAAUCUCAGGGCACUGCCCUUGCUGUGGCAGCAUGCUUUUUAUACUGCUCAUUUUAUACACCUAUCAUAUUUCUUCCAACAAUUCUUUCCAAAUUAAAUUGCCUUAGGGUGCAAGGGAACAUUUCAGAGAGAUGAGGGACUGUAAGCUAUCUUAUUCUCAUUGAAAUCAAUGUGACUUGGAUACCUAUCUGCAAUGUGUGUCAUUUAAAAUUUUCCACUUAAUCAGGUCAGACCUCUCCGCAAUGCUUUUCCCCAUUUUUAUUUCUUUUCUUUUCUGUGGAUCACUUUUGCAGUCUUUUCUGAUGUAUAAUGGGAAGAAGACAGGAGGUCUUAGCACAGAUGGACACUAAAUAUUGCUGAGAGAUUGAUACAUGAGAAGUCUAUCUGGGAAAGUACAGUUACAAAAAAAAAAAAAAAAGAAUUAUUAAAAAUGAAUUAAAUUGGUUAUUAGCUCAGUUAAGAUGCGAUCCUCCAGUUUUAUCCUCUGAUUCCAGUAGCACACCAAAAAAAGCUGGCCUGCUGCCAUGAUAAAAUAGGCCUAUCAUUUUCCAGUGGUUUAAAUAUGGGUCAAAACAUUUAAUCAGACAAUAUUAAUUUAUUUUAGUAUUCCCUGGGGAAACCCACGGUGACUUUAACAGAGAACCCCUUCUAGCUUUUGAAACAAAGAAGAAAUGGAAGGACAUCCACUGUGAUUUAUUUUCUCUGGAUGAUCAGUGGAGAAAUUGGAUAUGCAUGACACAUUCAUUUAGUCCUCACUUUCCUUUGAUGAUUAGGGCUGAAUUUUCAUUCUGGUAUAUGGGGAUUUGUGUGUGUCACUCCAAACAACUUAGUAUCAUACAUCUAAGUCCAAAUGUAACUUUCUAAGAGUGAAGUCCAGAGACAAGAAUCUCCAGUGUAAGUGGACAAAAUAGAAUAUUGCAAUAGCAUGCAAGUAAUACUUAUGCUCUAACAUUGAAGCCUGAGCCUCACAAAGGCUUGACUGAAUUUGUAAUUAAGAUCCUUUCCCUAGCUUUGGUGAAAAAGCACAUUGGAAAUAUGUGCAGGCAUCAAUGUAAUGAAAUCUAUAAAAAUUGAUUAGCCAUUUCAAAACAUCUGUUACUUGGUCCUUUGCACACUAUUGCAAAUAACCUCAAUAAUGAGGUGUGACCAAUUGCUUUAUAGUGGGAACAUUGCAGCCUCAGGCAAGGGAGGCUGAAGAGGUCUAGCUGUAGCUCAAACUGAUUGCAGUGAAAUGCUGGGUUUGUGUAGUUCGGUGCUGGAAUUUCAUUUGUUUAUAGCAAUCAUUUGUUUAAUAAUCUAACCUUUUAAAAAAACAUCAGAAUGAGAUAGAAAUAUGAGCAACAGUUUUUCCAAAAAAAUCCUUUACCAUUUGGGAUUACUUGGCAUUCACCAAAAUAAAGAAAUUCUAUGGAACUAAGCUAAUGGAACGAAGAAAAGAAAGCUAUAUAAUGGAUUAUAAAUGUUUGUAAUUGCUUCUUGCAAAUCCAGAGGCAAUUUGAAAGGCUAUUGCUGUGGCAUAAUAUUUUCCAGUUUCCAUUCAGUCCCAAUGUCAAGUGAUACAAGCAAUAAAACUCUCCCUUACCUUCCCCUGUAAGACUAUUCCAUACAUCACAUUGUGAGCAAGUUUUAUUUUUGGACUGUGAUGAACACCUCACAAGAUCAGCCCAGUAGCAAGGCACCAAGCACGUGGUGGUGAUACAUCACAUGGAUUCAAAAACACUGCCUUCCACCACUGCAGCAGCAGCUGCAGCCAUUGAAAUGAACACAUAAUUAAAAACACAGCACAAUUGCAUUACUGUUUAAAGCCUAAAGAAAUAUAAUUCUCACUAAAUAAUCACACUGCACUCAGAUACUAAACAUCUGGUGGAUCUAUUUUAAGAUUAGACAUGUAGCACCCCUGGACAGGUCUCAGCACUAGAGGAAUCAGAUGCAAGUGCUCACAACCACACGUGCCCUGCAAGAAUGAGAAAGACUGACCUUGAAUGUGCUGAGCUGGACCCAGAAAAAGAGAGGUGGCAACAGCAAGCAACUCAAACUUUGAGGAUGCAGCAGCUGUGCAGCUGCCUCAGCUUCAUUUGCAGAUAACCAUCCUUGAUUCAGCUCAAGAGAGGAAGCUGAUACACUCAGUAUUUGAAACACCUCAAAUCUUCGGUGUAUAUGUAUUUUAUGUGUAAACCCGGAGAAAGGAAAAUAAAAGCAUUAAAAA
Long non-coding RNA from Pyrgilauda ruficollis (rufous-necked snowfinch), 2758 nucleotides. RefSeq lists it as uncharacterized. The transcript has 3 exons. NCBI's taxonomy places the organism in Eukaryota, Metazoa, Chordata, Aves, Passeriformes, Passeridae. The record is from RefSeq and is a predicted model, not a curated record.